This is a long non-coding RNA of Ruditapes philippinarum (Manila clam), 509 nucleotides long. RefSeq lists it as uncharacterized. NCBI's taxonomy places the organism in Eukaryota, Metazoa, Mollusca, Bivalvia, Venerida, Veneridae. The record is from RefSeq and is a predicted model, not a curated record. The transcript has 3 exons.
AAAUUUUUCAAGUUUUAUCCUCAUUUAGAGCGCUGUUAUCUCUUACAGUGAGCAUAGCUAAAAUUGAUAUCAAUAAGUAUUUUAUUUGCUUACCCGGGUAGAUAGAUAACACCAGGAAGUGUUCUCUCUAAUUUUUCAAGACUAGUUUUUGUGAGGUAUGGAGUAACGUUUUAAUUAUAUUCUUCAUUGAAUUCGAAAAAUGAAAGGCUCUUGUAAAAUUUCGUUUUUACUUUCAUUUAUCGUUUUAACAGCAGUUGGCACUUUAUCUACAGACUGGCAUUUCAGCGGGCAAAACAUAGCUUUCAAUAAAUCAGCUGUUCAAAGCCCUGGCACAUUUGAAAAUAAAUCAGCAAGUUUAGCAGUUGACGGUAUUGAAAAGGGUGAGUUUACAGAUGGCAGUUGUAGUCACACCACGGGCGUUAGUUAUUCUGAUAAUAACAAUGGAAUUGCUCAAUGGAAAGUUUAUCUUGGCAGCUCGUUUAAUGUCACUGGUAUUAUCAUUGUUAACA